Molecule: long non-coding RNA, 5966 nt
Filed under: Malus domestica (apple)
Lineage: Eukaryota; Viridiplantae; Streptophyta; Magnoliopsida; Rosales; Rosaceae
Description: long non-coding RNA (MDOM_LNC020301)
Source: RNAcentral
UGUAAGUAGGGGAUUCUAGAACCCUCCAUUGAGGAGGUGACUUAGGCCUAUAAAUAGGAGGUAAGGCCAUUUGGCCAAACCAUCCAAGAAUCCAAGAAUUGUAAGCAAUUGUAAAGUUCUCUUAACUUUCAAUACAAAGCUUCCUUUCUCCCAUCUUCUAAGUGAUCUUAGCAUUCUCCAAGCUAUCUUAGCUUUCUUUGUGAUUCGAUCCGGGGAAGCGAGGCUUCGAAGGCUUACUUAGCUUGUUCGUCGAGGUAUUCAAGUCUAAGUGCCGCACGGGCGGAAGGCUUAAAGAGUCAUCCCGUGACAGCUGGUAUCAGAGCCAAGCUCGUGAAUCACUUGAAGGAAAGUAGGAUAUGGCAAGUGGAGAGAUGGUGUCCGGAGUCUCCGACCUAAGGGAGCGUACUGCCGAGGUCCAAGACGUUGCCAAGAGCAAGCCAAAGUUAAAGGACUUGCAAGCAUCGAUGGAGACCAUGGAAGAGCGACUCGAGAAGGUGGAACGAACCAUACUCGAGUUCGAUACUCGACUUGAUGAGGACGUUGUCGACAAGGAGGAAAUCCAAACCAUGGUGGACAAUGGUAAGGAUGAACUGCGUGGCUUGGUGGAAGGGCUACGAGAUGAGCUCCUUGGCGCUCUCAACACCAUGGCAGACAAGAUGCGGAGGGAAGUCCAGGUUCACCUUGACAACAUAGAGGCAAGGUUUGUGGCGCUUCAAGAAAAGAUAAAGGACAUAAGGGAACUUAAGGGAGAUGUGGCGUUUUGUAAAGAAGCAGUCGUGAAGCAAUUCGUGCAAGGGUCGAGGGAAAUCAAGGCGUUGGACUCCAAGGUAAUCGACUCCUUUAAACCCAAAUCCUAUAAUGGGAAGAGGGAAGCAAAGGAGCUCGACACAUUCGUGUGGAACGUGGAGCGAUACUUCAAGUACCUAAAGCUUGAAGAUGACGAGUCCAAAAUCUCAACGGCAACCAUGUUCUUAGCUGACAAUGCCCUUAUGUGGUGGCGUCGUCGGAGCAUGGAGAUUGAGCAAGGUACGUUCUCUCUCACCACUUGGGAUGAAUUUAAGAAAGAUCUUAUGUUGCACUUCUAUCCCCAAAAUGCCAAGUACGAAGCCAAAGAGAAACUAAGGUGGCUCAAGCAAACGGGGAGCGUCAAAGACUAUGUCAACGCCUUCGUGAGCUUGUUAUUCGAGGUGCCCAACAUGUCAGAGGAAGAUAAGCUCAUGUACUUCAUGAGUGGACUGCAAAAUUGGGCAAAACUCGAACUACAAAGGAGACACGUGCAAACAUUGUCUGAUGCCAUUGCCGCUGCCGAAUCCUUGAUUGAGUUUAAAUCAAGCCACCAAGGUGAUUCCAAGCCCACGGGGAAGAGGGGUAACCAUGAGAGAAGUGGGGGAGAACAUAAGCCGAAGGACAAGGCCGAGACAAGCAAACCGAAGGAGAAGAAAGCCGAUAAGCAUGACAAAGGCAAAGGUAAGUCUUGGCAACCCACUUGUUACCUAUGCGACGACCCUCACAUGAUGCGAGAUUGCCCACAAAAGAAGGCCCUUAAGGCCAUGGCCUUCAAGGAGGACAAGGCCGAGGAGAGUAACGAUGCAACGAUGGGAUGCAUCCGUCUACUGAAUGCCAUCCAGACAACCCUCCCACCACCUAAGGCUCAAGUUGGGGGAGGAUCAUUGUUCGUCGACAUCAAGACUGGUGACAAGACGACGCGUGUGUUGGUGGACACGGGAGCAACACACAACUUCAUGACGUCGGAGGAAGCCACAAGGCUUGGCCUCCGAGUCACCAAGGAGCCCGGUAGCGUGAAGACGGUAAAUUCCGCUGCCACCCCCAUUGUUGGAGUUGCGCGCAAUGUACACGUAGACAUUGGCACAUGGAAGGGAACAAUCGACUUCACCGUAGUUAAGAUGGACGACUAUGGCGUAGUCAUUGGGUUAGAGUUCAUGGACAAGGUACGAGCCUUUCCCAUUCCCUUCUACAAUAUUUUCUGUAUCCUGGCCGACGGAAGACAACCUUGCCUGGUGCCAUUGGAAAGGCAAGCCAAGAAGUGUACCCAACACUUGUCGGCAAUUCAAUUUGCCAAGUCUUGGAAGAAAGGCGAGGCCACAUUUCUUGCAACCCUAAUGUUGAAUGAAGGGGAGGAGAAGCACGGGCCUUUGCCGAAACAAGUGGAAGACGUCCUUGUGGAGUUUGCGGACGUGAUGCCUAAGGAACUGCCAAAGAAGUUGCCACCAAGGAGAGAGGUCGACCAUGCGAUUGAGUUGGAGCCUGGUGCUAAGCCUCCCUCCAAAUCACCUUAUAGGAUGUCGCCACCCGAGUUGGAGGAAUUAAGGAAGCAACUCAACGAGCUACUUGAUGCUGGCUACAUCCAACCCUCCAAGUCCCCAUAUGGUGCACCCGUCUUGUUCCAACGCAAGAAAGAAGGUAGCCUAAGGUUGUGCAUCGACUAUAGAGCAUUGAACAAGAUUACCAUCAAGAACAAGUACCCACUUCCGUUGAUCGCCGACUUAUUCGAUCAACUUGGUGAAGCAAGGUACUUCACAAAGUUAGAUCUUCGAUCGGGAUACUACCAAGUGAGGAUAGCCCCUGGAGACGAAUCGAAGACGGCGAUGGUGACCAGAUAUGGAUCGUUCGAGUAUAAAGUCAUGCCAUUUGGUCUGACCAAUGCCCCCGCAACAUUCUGCACAUUGAUGAAUAAGGUAUUCCAUCCUUAUCUUGACAAGUUUGUCGUGGUUUACAUUGAUGAUAUCGUUGUCUAUAGCAAGACAUUGGAGGAGCACGUCAAGCACUUGCGCAUAGUGUUCAAGACCCUUCGGGAGCAUGAACUCUAUGUCAAGAAGGAGAAAUGCUCCUUUGCUACAAAAGAAGUAGAAUUUCUUGGCCACAAGAUAAAGGAAGGGAAACUUAUUAUGGAAAAGGGCAAGAUCAAGGCCAUUCAAGAGUGGGAACCGCCGACCAAGGUACCAACACUACGAUCCUUUCUGGGGCUAGCCAACUACUAUCGGAGAUUCAUAAAAGGGUAUUCAGCUAUAGCGGCACCCUUAACAGACCUUCUUAAGAAAAACAAGGCAUGGGAAUGGACGGACCGGUGUCAAGAGGCCUUUGAGAGGUUGAAGAAGGCCCUAAUGGAGGAGCCUGUACUAAGGUUGCCCGACCUUAGUAAGCCAUUCGAGUUGCACACUGAUGCUUCCGACUUUGCCAUAGGAGGAGUGUUGAUGCAAGAGGGACAUCCGAUAGCCUAUGAAAGUCGCAAGCUAAACAAUGCCGAGAAGAGGUACACGACCCAUGAAAAGGAGAUGACCGCCAUCGUCCAUUGCCUUAGAGUUUGGAGGCAUUACUUGCUUGGUACCCCAUUCAUCAUCAAGACGGACAACGUUGCCACUAGCUACUUUCAAACCCAACAAAAGCUCACACCUAAGCAAGCAAGGUGGCAAUAGUUCUUAGCGGAGUUUGAUUACAAGCUAGAGUACAAGCAAGGAAAGGAGAAUGUGGUGGCCGAUGCUCUAAGUAGACGAGUAGAGUUAAUGGCUACGGUACUCAAGCCGCAAAGCCAUCUCUUGGGCCGUGUCCGAGAAGGUUUAUCACAUGACGUCCAAGCCAAGAACAUUGUGGAGUUUGUCAAGGAAGGGAAGACAAGAAGGUUUUGGCUUGAGGACGGCUUGCUAUACACCAAAGGCAAGCGGAUCUAUGUCCCAAAGUGGGGAAGCUUAAGGAAAGAAAUCCUUAAGGAGUGCCAUGACUCAAUGUGGGCAGGACAUCCUGGCACUCACCGCACGUUGGCUUUGGUGAGCGAUGCUUAUUAUUGGCCACAAAUGCGAGAUGAUGUAGAUUCAUACGUGAGGACUUGCCUUGUGUGCCAACAAGACAAAGUGGAACAAAGGCAACCGGGAGGACUGUUGGAACCACUUCCCACCCCAUCAAGACCAUGGGAGUGUUUAACUAUGGAUUUCAUCACACAUUUGCCCAAGUCUGAUGGAUGUGGAUCUAUCUUCGUCGUGGUCGAUAGAUUCACCAAGUAUGGCACCUUCAUACCCGCACCUGUGGAGUGCACAGCCGAAGUAGCUGCACGCUUGUUUCUAAAGCACGUGGUGAAGUAUUGGGGAGUUCCGAGGAGCAUAGUCAGUGAUCGAGAUGCUCGCUUCACGGGUAGAUUCUGGAAGGAGCUCUUCAAGCUACUUGGCUCAAAGUUAGAAUUAUCCACAGCUUUUCAUCCGCAAACCGAUGGACAAACGGAGCGGGUUAAUGCAUUGUUGGAGACUUAUUUGCGGCACUAUGUUAGUGCCAAUCAACGAGAUUGGGCUAAGUUACUUGAUGUUGCCCAAUUCUCUUAUAACUUGCAACGUUCGGAGUCGACGGGGAAAAGUCCGUUCGAGUUGGCUAUAGGGCAACAACCCUUGACCCCGAACACGGUCGUGACUGGCUACACGGGGAAUAGUCCAGCCGCUUUCAAAACUGAUAAGGAGUGGCAAUUAGCCCACGAACUUGCUCGAGCUCAUUUGGAGAAGGCUUCAAAGAAGAUGAAGAAAUGGGCAGAUCGCAAGCGAAGGAAUGUGGAGUUCCAAACUGGCGACCAAGUCUUUGUGAAGCUCAAUGCGUCUCAGCACAAGAGUACUCGUGGCUUGCAUAAGAGCUUGUUGCGGAAAUAUGAGGGACCAUUCCCUAUCAUCAAGAAGGUUGGCAAAGCCGCGUAUGUUGUGGAACUCCCACCCCGCCUCAAGUUUCACCCGGUGUUCCAUGUAAGCAACUUGAAGCCUUAUCAUGCAGACAAUGAGGAACCAAGUCGAGGUGAGUCUCAUCGAGCACCCCCUUUGAUGACGGAGGCAUUUGACAAAGAAGUGGAGAGCAUUGAAGCCAAGCGUGUCGUGGUGCGACCAAGACAACCAAAGCAUGUGGAGUACUUUGUCAAAUGGAAGGGGCUACCAUACUCCGAAGCAACAUGGGAGAAGGAGACGUCCUUAUGGCAAUAUAAGGACUUGAUUCAGACAUUCGAGAGGCAAGAGUCGACGAGGACGUCGACGGCUUAAGUGGGGGAGGAUGUCACGGGCCGCAUGUUAAAAACAAAGAAAAUGCCCAAGACAUCAUAUAUCUAAGCCCAUGAAGCCAUGUCUUCAUGGAAGCUUCUGGAACGUCCCGGAGAAAUCAAGAACGUGGCGGAGCAUUCAAGAUAAUCUAGGGCAUUCCGGAACAUUCCACACAAGUGUACAUAUUUAAGCCUCACCUAGAAUAAUCUAGAUUAGGCAAGUUGUAUCUAGAACUAUGCUAGAUAUUUUUGGAUGUAAGUAGGGGAUUCUAGAACCCUCCAUUGAGGAGGUGACUUAGGCCUAUAAAUAGGAGGUAAGGCCAUUUGGCCAAACCAUCCAAGAAUCCAAGAAUUGUAAGCAAUUGUAAAGUUCUCUUAACUUUCAAUACAAAGCUUCCUUUCUCCCAUCUUCUAAGUGAUCUUAGCAUUCUCCAAGCUAUCUUAGCUUUCUUUGUGAUUCGAUCCGGGGAAGCGAGGCUUCGAAGGCUUACUUAGCUUGUUCGUCGAGGUAUUCAAGUCUAAGUGCCGCACGGGCGGAAGGCUUAAAGAGUCAUCCCGUGACACUUGGAUGCCUUGAAUAAAUAUAACACUCCCAAGAUAAAUAAUUAACUGUCCAAUAUUAUAUUUUUCCUGUUUCUUUCUUUUUAUUCUCGGGAGAGAAACAAACCCAUAACAAAUAAUUGAAGAAAACAUACAGAAAAAAUUGGGGAGUAGUGACAUACAAUAUGCUGAGUUCUUCUUUGCUCAACGACAAACCUCAGAGAAAAUCAAACCUCUUAAACAACAAAAUCCAGCCAGAGAACUCAGUUUUGCAGUAAGUCGUAAACACCAUGCGAGAUAGCAAACGAAAGGCAGAUGUUUAAUAGCGAACAAUAGGGAAUACUCCAAGAAUCAAGCCCAGGAAACUUCAAAUCCAUUGCAACAAAAGAUAUAUGGAAGUAGUACUCUA